This 119-nucleotide ribosomal RNA is filed under the name Helianthus annuus (common sunflower). Lineage: Eukaryota; Viridiplantae; Streptophyta; Magnoliopsida; Asterales; Asteraceae. The record is from RNAcentral.
GGUUGCGAUCAUACCAGCACUAAUGCACCGGAUCCCAUCAGAACUCCGUAGUUAAGUGUGCUUGGGCGAGAGUAGUACUAGGAUGGGUGACCCCCUUUGACCUACUCGUGUUGCAACCU